UAACAGUGGUGCCUGCAAAACCUGAU
This 26-nucleotide non-coding RNA is filed under the name Rattus norvegicus (Norway rat). Lineage: Eukaryota; Metazoa; Chordata; Mammalia; Rodentia; Muridae. The record is from RNAcentral.